GGGGGACAUUCCACGUUUUCCGCGCCGUAGCUAACGCAUUAAGUGCCCCGCCUGGGGAGUACGGCCGCAAGGCUAAAACUCAAAGGAAUUGACGGGGGCCCGCACAAGCGGCGGAGCAUGCGGAUUAAUUCGAUGCAACGCGAAGAACCUUACCAAGGCUUGACAUAUACCGGAUCGUUCCAGAGAUGGUUCUUCCCCUUUGGGGUCGGUAUACAGGUGGUGCAUGGUUGUCGUCAGCUCGUGUCGUGAGAUGUUGGGUUAAGUCCCGCAACGAGCGCAACCCUCGUUCCAUGUUGCCAGCACGUGAUGGUGGGGACUCAUGGGAGACUGCCGGGGUCAACUCGGAGGAAGGUGGGGAUGACGUCAAAUCAUCAUGCCCCUUAUGUCUUGGGCUUCACGCAUGCUACAAUGGCCGGUACAAAGGGUUGCGAUACUGUGAGGUGGAGCUAAUCCCAAAAAGCCGGUCUCAGUUCGGAUUGAGGUCUGCAACUCGACCUCAUGAAGUCGGAGUCGCUAGUAAUCGCAGAUCAGCAACGCUGCGGUGAAUACGUUCCCGGGCCUUGUACACACCGCCCGUCAAGUCACGAAAGUCGGUAACUGAGUGAGAUCCGGUGUCACGAAGUCUUAGGCAGAGAUAACAUGAUAUAGAUGCCA
This 654-nucleotide ribosomal RNA is filed under the name Kocuria palustris. Its description in RNAcentral is "bacterial SSU rRNA". It matches the Rfam family "Bacterial small subunit ribosomal RNA", at positions 824 to 1470 of the family's 1533-position model. Lineage: Bacteria; Bacillati; Actinomycetota; Actinomycetes; Micrococcales; Micrococcaceae. The record is from RNAcentral.